UAUUGCGCAAUGGGCGAAAGCCUGACGCAGCGACGCCGCGUGAGGGAUGAAGGUCUUCGGAUCGUAAACCUCGGUCAGCAGGGAAGAACGGUCACGGUGCUAAUCAGCAGUGAAUUGACGGUACCUGCAAAGGAAGCACCGGCUCACUCCGUCACAGCAGCCGCGGUAAUACGGGGGGUGCGAGCGUUAAACGGAAUUACUGGGCUUAAAGCGCUCGUAGGCGGUAUGUCAAGUCAAGGGUGAAAUCCCCGCGCUCAACGUGGGAACUGCCUUUGAAACUGGCAAACUGGAGUGUGUGAGAGGAUAGUGGAAUUCCAGGUGUAGGAGUGAAAUCCGUAGAUAUCUGGAGGAACAUCAGUGGCGAAGGCGACUAUCUGGCACAUAACUGACGCUGAGGAGCGAAAGCGUGGGUAGCAAACAGG
RNAcentral lists this ribosomal RNA (422 nucleotides) under uncultured bacterium. RNAcentral's name for it is "bacterial SSU rRNA". It matches the Rfam family "Bacterial small subunit ribosomal RNA", at positions 362 to 776 of the family's 1533-position model. The record is from RNAcentral.